This 924-nucleotide ribosomal RNA is filed under the name Bacillus sp. SWL-3. RNAcentral's name for it is "bacterial SSU rRNA". It matches the Rfam family "Bacterial small subunit ribosomal RNA", at positions 533 to 1453 of the family's 1533-position model. Lineage: Bacteria; Bacillati; Bacillota; Bacilli; Caryophanales; Bacillaceae. The record is from RNAcentral.
GGUGAGCUUGUCCGNAUUAUUGGGCGUAAAGCGCGCGCAGGCGGCCUUUUAAGUCUGAUGUGAAAGCCCCCGGCUCAACCGGGGAGGGUCAUUGGAAACUGGAAGGCUUGAGUGCAGAAGAGAAGAGCGGAAUUCCACGUGUAGCGGUGAAAUGCGUAGAGAUGUGGAGGAACACCAGUGGCGAAGGCGGCUCUUUGGUCUGUAACUGACGCUGAGGCGCGAAAGCGUGGGGAGCGAACAGGAUUAGAUACCCUGGUAGUCCACGCCGUAAACGAUGAGUGCUAAGUGUUGGGGGGUUUCCGCCCCUCAGUGCUGCAGCUAACGCAUUAAGCACUCCGCCUGGGGAGUACGGCCGCAAGGCUGAAACUCAAAGGAAUUGACGGGGGCCCGCACAAGCGGUGGAGCAUGUGGUUUAAUUCGAAGCAACGCGAAGAACCUUACCAGGUCUUGACAUCCCGCUGACCGGUCUGGAGACAGAUCUUCCCCUUCGGGGGCAGCGGUGACAGGUGGUGCAUGGUUGUCGUCAGCUCGUGUCGUGAGAUGUUGGGUUAAGUCCCGCAACGAGCGCAACCCUUGAUCUUAGUUGCCAGCAUUUAGUUGGGCACUCUAAGGUGACUGCCGGUGACAAACCGGAGGAAGGUGGGGAUGACGUCAAAUCAUCAUGCCCCUUAUGACCUGGGCUACACACGUGCUACAAUGGAUGGUACAAAGGGCUGCAAGACCGCGAGGUUUAGCCAAUCCCAUAAAACCAUUCUCAGUUCGGAUUGCAGGCUGCAACUCGCCUGCAUGAAGCUGGAAUCGCUAGUAAUCGCGGAUCANCAUGCCGCGGUGAAUACNUUNCCCGGGCCUUGUNCACACCGCCCGUCACACCACGANAGUUUGCAACACCCGAAGUCNGUGGGGUAACCCNUUACNGGAGCCANC